This 497-nucleotide ribosomal RNA is filed under the name uncultured bacterium. RNAcentral's name for it is "partial 16S ribosomal RNA". It matches the Rfam family "Bacterial small subunit ribosomal RNA", at positions 28 to 507 of the family's 1533-position model. The record is from RNAcentral.
GAUGAACUCUGGCGGCGUGCCUAAUACAUGCCAGUCGAGCGAACAGAUGAGGAGCUUGCUCCUCUGACGUUAGCGGCGGACGGGUGAGUAACACGUGGAUAACCUACCUAUAAGACUGGGAUAACUUCGGGAAACCGGAGCUAAUACCGGAUAAUAUAUUGAACCGCAUGGUUCAAUAGUGAAAGACGGUUUUGCUGUCACUUAUAGAUGGAUCCGCGCCGCAUUAGCUAGUUGGUAAGGUAACGGCUUACCAAGGCAACGAUGCGUAGCCGACCUGAGAGGGUGAUCGGCCACACUGGAACUGAGACACGGUCCAGACUCCUACGGGAGGCAGCAGUAGGGAAUCUUCCGCAAUGGGCGAAAGCCUGACGGAGCAACGCCGCGUGAGUGAUGAAGGUCUUCGGAUCUUAAAACUCUGUUAUUAGGGAAGAACAAAUGUGUAAGUAACUAUGCACGUCUUGACGGUACCUAAUCAGAAAGCCACGGCUAACUACGUG